Molecule: ribosomal RNA, 762 nt
Filed under: uncultured Bacillota bacterium
Lineage: Bacteria; Bacillati; Bacillota
Description: bacterial SSU rRNA
Rfam family: Bacterial small subunit ribosomal RNA
Source: RNAcentral
AGAUGAGGAAAGCGGCGAACGGGUGAGUAACGCGUGGGCAACCUGGCCUUAAGAAAAGGAUAGCCCCCGGAAACGGGGAGUAAUACUUUAUGAGAAUAAAAAAGGGCAUCCUACUUCCAUUCAAAGCGCAAGCGCUUAAGGAUGGGCCCGCGUAUCAUUAGCUAGUUGGUGAGAUAACAGCCCACCAAGGCAACGAUGAUUAGCCGGUCUGAGAGGGCGAACGGCCACAUUGGAACUGAGAGACGGUCCAAACUCCUACGGGAGGCAGCAGUGGGGAAUAAUUGCGCAAUGGCAGAAGAACUCUGACGCAGCAAUACCCGCGUGAGCGAAGAAGGUCUUCGGAUCGUAAAGCUCUGUUAUCAGGGAAGAAGAAAAUGACGGGUACCUGAUGAGCAAGUCCCGGGCUAACUACGUGCCAGCAGCCGCGGUAAUACGUAGGGGACAAGCGUUGUCCGGAAUCACUGGGCGUAAAGGGCGCGCAGGCGGUGAUUUAAGCAGGAUGUGAAAGGCUACGGCUCAACCGUAGACAUGCACCCUGAACUGGGUCACUUGAGUAUUGGAGAGGCAGGCAGAAUUCCUCGUGUAGCGGUGAAAUGCGUAGAUAUCAGGAGGAAUACCGGAGGCGAAGGCGGCCUGCUGGACAAAUACUGACGCUGAGGCGCGAAAGCGUGGGGAGCAAAGCAGGAUUAGAUAACCCUGGUAGUCCACGCCGUAAACGAUGAAUGCUGGUUGUUGGUCUUUAAAGAUCAGUGACGACGUAAA